Molecule: ribosomal RNA, 448 nt
Filed under: uncultured bacterium
Lineage: Bacteria
Description: bacterial SSU rRNA
Rfam family: Bacterial small subunit ribosomal RNA
Source: RNAcentral
GAACCAGACUCCUACGGGAGGCAGCAGUGGGGAAUAUUGCACAAUGGGGGGAACCCUGAUGCAGCGACGCCGCGUGGGUGAAGGAGCACCUCGGUGCGUAAAGCCCUAUCGGCAGGGAAGAAACAGACGGUACCUGACUAAGAAGCCCCGGCUAACUACGUGCCAGCAGCCGCGGGAAUACGUAGGGGGCAAGCGUUAUCCGGAUUUACUGGGUGUAAAGGGGGCGCAGACGGCGAUGCAAGCCAGGAGUGAAAGCCCGGGGCCCAACCCCGGGACUGCUCUUGGAACUGCGUGGCUAGAGUGCAGGAGGGGCAGGCGGAAUUCCUGGUGUAGCGGUGAAAUGCGUAGAUAUCAGGAGGAACACCGGUGGCGAAGGCGGCCUGCUGGACUGCAACUGACGUUGAGGCCCGAAAGCGUGGGGAGCAAACAGGAUUAGAUACCCCAGUAC